GACCCAUCGACUGCUCGUGCUUCGGAGUCUACGCAGGGUUAGCUGUUUGCCAAGAUCACGUGGAUAAGCAAGCAGUUUAUGAUUUGAAAGCUGGUCCACUCCGAUUCUUUUGAUUCUUCGGAGGUUUUUAUGUUAUUUUAACUAGUUACUGUUUUCGAACUCUUAGACCGCAGUAGAACUAGUUUAUUAUAUAUUAUAUUGAUAUUACACUCUGGGAUUAUCGAUUUGAUCGAUUAUUUAUUAUUAGCAUGUUUACUCUGGAUUACUUUAAUAUUAUAUUUAAGGCA
Molecule: long non-coding RNA, 287 nt
Organism: Mercurialis annua (annual mercury)
Lineage: Eukaryota; Viridiplantae; Streptophyta; Magnoliopsida; Malpighiales; Euphorbiaceae
Exons: 2
Source: RefSeq, a predicted model, not a curated record